UGGGGAAUAUUGCACAAUGGGCGAAAGCCUGAUGCAGCGACGCCGCGUGAGGGAUGACGGCCUUCGGGUUGUAAACCUCUUUCAGUAGGGACGAAGCGCAAGUGACGGUAUCUGCAGAAGAAGCACCGGCUAACUACGUGCCAGCAGCCGCGGUAAUACGUAGGGUGCGAGCGUUGUCCGGAAUUACUGGGCGUAAAGAGCUCGUAGGCGGUUUGUCACGUCGUCUGUGAAAUCCUAGGGCUUAACCCUGGACGUGCAGGCGAUACGGGCUGACUUGAGUACUACCGGGGAGACUGGAAUUUCUGGUGUAGCGGUGGAAUGCACAGAUAUCAGGAAGAACACCGAUGGCGCAGGCAGGUCUCUGGGUAGUAACUGACGCUGAGGAUCGAAAGCAUGGGUAGCGAACAGG
Molecule: ribosomal RNA, 409 nt
Filed under: bacterium
Lineage: Bacteria
Description: partial 16S ribosomal RNA
Rfam family: Bacterial small subunit ribosomal RNA
Source: RNAcentral